GGAAAGAUGAAAAGAACUUUGAAAAGAGAGUUAAACAGUACGUGAAAUUGUUGAAAGGGAAACGAUUGAAGUCAGUCAUACCAACGGGAAAUCAACCUUUUGUGCUUUGUCUCGUGGGUUCGAAGAGUUUAAACGCCUUCGGGCUCGCGAGAUUGGGAUCUUCUGGUGUACUUUCCCGUACGGUUAGUCAACAUCGGUUUUGAAUGUCAUAAAAUGACUGGAGGAAUGUGGCUUCGAUCUCGUAUCGAGGUGUUAUAGCCUUUGGUAGAUGUGAUGUUCGAGUCCGAGGAUUGCAACGGAUACCCUUCUGGGCUAUUCGUCUGAUCUCUGAUACGUUGCCUUGAUGUCGAAAGCUUGCUUAUGAUGUUAGGGUAUUACGGUCAAAAGGUUAGAACGGAUUAAAUUCGUUAAGGAUGUUGACGUAAUGACUUUAAACGACCCGUCUUGAAACACGGACCA
RNAcentral lists this ribosomal RNA (459 nucleotides) under Septoglomus constrictum. RNAcentral describes it as "LSU rRNA". It matches the Rfam family "Eukaryotic large subunit ribosomal RNA", at positions 358 to 668 of the family's 3401-position model. Lineage: Eukaryota; Fungi; Glomeromycota; Glomeromycetes; Glomerales; Glomeraceae. The record is from RNAcentral.